GUGAGACAGGUGCUGCAUGGCUGUCGUCAGCUCGUGUUGUGAAAUGUUGGGUUAAGUCCCGCAACGAGCGCAACCCUUAUCCUUUGUUGCCAGCGGUCCGGCCGGGAACUCAAAGGAGACUGCCAGUGAUAAACUGGAGGAAGGUGGGGAUGACGUCAAGUCAUCAUGGCCCUUACGACCAGGGCUACACACGUGCUACAAUGGCGCAUACACAGAGAAGCGACCUCGC
RNAcentral lists this ribosomal RNA (229 nucleotides) under Salmonella enterica subsp. enterica serovar Derby. RNAcentral describes it as "partial 16S ribosomal RNA". It matches the Rfam family "Bacterial small subunit ribosomal RNA", at positions 1029 to 1258 of the family's 1533-position model. The record is from RNAcentral. Lineage: Bacteria; Pseudomonadati; Pseudomonadota; Gammaproteobacteria; Enterobacterales; Enterobacteriaceae.